This 1034-nucleotide ribosomal RNA is filed under the name Olivibacter soli. Its description in RNAcentral is "bacterial SSU rRNA". It matches the Rfam family "Bacterial small subunit ribosomal RNA", at positions 49 to 1086 of the family's 1533-position model. Lineage: Bacteria; Pseudomonadati; Bacteroidota; Sphingobacteriia; Sphingobacteriales; Sphingobacteriaceae. The record is from RNAcentral.
CUAUACUGCAGUCGGACGGGAUUCAAUAGCUUGCUAUUGAUGAGAGUGGCGCACGGGUGCGUAACGCGUGAGCAACCUGCCCAUUUCAGGGGGAUAGCCCGGAGAAAUCCGGAUUAAGACCGCAUAUGAUCACGUUACCGCAUGGUAGAGUGAUGAAAUAUUCAUAGGAAAUGGAUGGGCUCGCGUGACAUUAGCUAGUUGGUAGGGUAACGGCCUACCAAGGCGACGAUGUCUAGGGGCUCUGAGAGGAGAAUCCCCCACACUGGUACUGAGACACGGACCAGACUCCUACGGGAGGCAGCAGUAAGGAAUAUUGGUCAAUGGGGGGAACCCUGAACCAGCCAUGCCGCGUGCAGGAAGACGGCCCUACGGGUUGUAAACUGCUUUUGCACGGGAAUAACCCUCAUUAUGUAUAAUGAGCUGAAUGUACCGUGAGAAUAAGGAUCGGCUAACUCCGUGCCAGCAGCCGCGGUAAUACGGAGGAUCCGAGCGUUAUCCGGAAUUAUUGGGUUUAAAGGGUGCGCAGGCGGGGAUCUAAGUCAGGGGUGAAAGACGGUGGCUCAACCAUCGCAGUGCCUUUGAUACUGGAUUCCUUGAAUAUACCUGAGGUAGGCGGAAUGUGGCAAGUAGCGGUGAAAUGCAUAGAUAUGCCACAGAACACCGAUUGCGAAGGCAGCUUACCAAAGUAUGAUUGACGCUGAGGCACGAAAGCGUGGGGAUCGAACAGGAUUAGAUACCCUGGUAGUCCACGCCCUAAACGAUGAACACUCGAUGUCGGCGAUAGACAGUCGGCGUCCAAGCGAAAGCGUUAAGUGUUCCACCUGGGGAGUACGCCCGCAAGGGUGAAACUCAAAGGAAUUGACGGGGGCCCGCACAAGCGGAGGAGCAUGUGGUUUAAUUCGAUGAUACGCGAGGAACCUUACCCGGGCUUGAAAGUUACUGAAGAUAGCAGAGAUGUUAUCGUCCUUCGGGACAGGAAACUAGGUGCUGCAUGGCUGUCGUCAGCUCGUGCCGUGAAGUGUUUGGGUUAAGUC